RNAcentral lists this ribosomal RNA (671 nucleotides) under Microbispora sp. YIM 77549. RNAcentral describes it as "bacterial SSU rRNA". It matches the Rfam family "Bacterial small subunit ribosomal RNA", at positions 63 to 755 of the family's 1533-position model. Lineage: Bacteria; Bacillati; Actinomycetota; Actinomycetes; Streptosporangiales; Streptosporangiaceae. The record is from RNAcentral.
CGAGCGGAAGGCCCUUCGGGGUACUCGAGCGGCGAACGGGUGAGUAACACGUGAGUAACCUGCCCCUGACUCUGGGAUAAGCCUGGGAAACCGGGUCUAAUACCGGAUAUGACACAUGGCCGCAUGGUCUGUGUGUGGAAAGUUUUUUCGGUUGGGGAUGGGCUCGCGGCCUAUCAGCUUGUUGGUGGGGUGAUGGCCUACCAAGGCGACGACGGGUAGCCGGCCUGAGAGGGCGACCGGCCACACUGGGACUGAGACACGGCCCAGACUCCUACGGGAGGCAGCAGUGGGGAAUAUUGCGCAAUGGGCGGAAGCCUGACGCAGCGACGCCGCGUGGGGGAUGACGGCCUUCGGGUUGUAAACCUCUUUCAGCAGGGACGAAGUUGACGUGUACCUGUAGAAGAAGCGCCGGCUAACUACGUGCCAGCAGCCGCGGUAAUACGUAGGGCGCGAGCGUUGUCCGGAAUUAUUGGGCGUAAAGAGCUCGUAGGUGGCUUGUCGCGUCUGCCGUGAAAGCUCGUGGCUUAACUACGGGUCUGCGGUGGAUACGGGCAGGCUGGAGGCUGGUAGGGGCAAGUGGAAUUCCUGGUGUAGCGGUGAAAUGCGCAGAUAUCAGGAGGAACACCGGUGGCGAAGGCGGCUUGCUGGGCCAGUUCUGACGCUGAGGAGCG